Molecule: ribosomal RNA, 207 nt
Filed under: uncultured bacterium
Lineage: Bacteria
Description: partial 16S ribosomal RNA
Rfam family: Bacterial small subunit ribosomal RNA
Source: RNAcentral
UGCGCAGGCGGUUAGGCAAGUUUGAUGUGAAAGCCCCGGGCUUAACCUGGGACGUGCAUUGAAUACUGCUUAACUAGAGUACGUUAGAGGGGGGUGGAAUUCCACGUGUAGCAGUGAAAUGCGUAGAGACGUGGAGGAACACCGAUGGCGAAGGCAGCCCCCUGGGAUGAUACUGACGCUCAAGCACGAAAGCGUGGGUAGCAAACA